This 140-nucleotide small nuclear RNA is filed under the name Cebus imitator (Panamanian white-faced capuchin). RNAcentral's name for it is "U4 spliceosomal RNA (ENSCCAG00000009604.1)". It matches the Rfam family "U4 spliceosomal RNA". From Rfam's summary of the family: U4 small nuclear RNA (U4 snRNA) is a component of the major U2-dependent spliceosome. The structure of U4 snRNA from yeast and human has been reported. U4 snRNA presents a k-turn RNA motif in the 5p-SL related to recognition of Snu13 protein. Lineage: Eukaryota; Metazoa; Chordata; Mammalia; Primates; Cebidae. The record is from Rfam by way of RNAcentral.
AGCUUUGCGCGUGGCAAUAUCAUAGCCAAUGAGGUUAAUCUGGGGAGCAAUUAUUGCUAAUUCAAAACUUUUCCCAAUACCCUACCAUGAAGACUUGCAAUAUAGUCGGCAUUGGCAAUUUUUGACAGUCUCCACGGAGA